CAUUUGAUUUUAUUCACUCACACUAAACAUAGUCCUAACUUCAUCUUAACCCGAUUAGAAAUAUACCAAACCCAUUCCGGGCGAGACGACCCGAAGUCUAAUUUAUUUAUUUAUCUUUUCCUAGAUGACGCAAAAAAAAAAAAUUCAACUUUCUAAAAAACUGAGUGAGAGAAAAGCCCAUUGGGGUAGAAGGCCCACUAAUAUUAGGGUUUCCAACUCAGCCUAUAUAUGUAAUGGUGCCGCUUCCCCUCAUUUUUCAGGGAAGGGUUCUGGUUUUCUCUGGAGAAUUGGGCGAACUCAGGCCGAGAGGGGUUUUAUUCAAGAAACUUGAGCCAACAUGAGGGCUAAGUGGAAGAAGAAGCGCAUGAGGAGGUUGAAGAGGAAGCGCCGAAAGAUGAGGCAAAGAUCAAAGUAAACAAUGGCUGUGGAUAGCAAAAUGACUUCUUUUAAUAGUCUUUCAUCUUUUUAUCAGCUUCUGUGAUGGACUGUGGCAGUUGUGAUGUAUGGUGGGAGAUUUUAGCGGGAAGCUUAAUCAUGUUAUCUAUGCUGUUUCUACAAAUUUUAAUUUCAGGUUUUGUAUUUCGAUGAAGUAAGUUUUAGGGUUUAUUGUUGAGCAGAAUUUUUCUGAUCUUGUUUUCUAUUUUAUUUGGAUCUUAGUGUUUCUGAAUCUUAUAUUAAGACAUAAUAAGUUCUUUAA
Long non-coding RNA from Cornus florida, 697 nucleotides. RefSeq lists it as uncharacterized. The transcript has 2 exons. The record is from RefSeq and is a predicted model, not a curated record. Lineage: Eukaryota; Viridiplantae; Streptophyta; Magnoliopsida; Cornales; Cornaceae.